Molecule: ribosomal RNA, 374 nt
Filed under: uncultured organism
Description: bacterial SSU rRNA
Rfam family: Bacterial small subunit ribosomal RNA
Source: RNAcentral
CGGAGGGUGCGAGCGUUGUCCGGAACCACUGGGCGUAAAGGGCGCGUAGGCGGCCUGAUAAGUAGGGGGUGAAAUCUUGCGGCUUAACCGCAAGGCUGCCUUCUAAACUGUCGGGCUCGAGCACAGUAGAGGCAGGUGGAAUUCCCGGUGUAGCGGUGGAAUGCGUAGAGAUCGGGAAGAACAUCAGUGGCGAAGGCGGCCUGCUGGGCUGUUGCUGACGCUGAGGCGCGACAGCGUGGGGAGCAAACAGGAUUAGAUACCCUGGUAGUCCACGCCGUAAACGAUGGGCACUAGGCGUCGGGGGGAGCGGACCCUCCCGGUGCCCGUCGCUAACGCAGUAAGUGCCCCGCCUGGGGAGUACGGCCGCAAGGCUG